RNAcentral lists this ribosomal RNA (449 nucleotides) under uncultured bacterium. Its description in RNAcentral is "partial 16S ribosomal RNA". It matches the Rfam family "Bacterial small subunit ribosomal RNA", at positions 29 to 523 of the family's 1533-position model. The record is from RNAcentral.
AACGAACGCUGGCGGCAUGCCUAACACAUGCAAGUCGAACGAGAUCUUCGGGUCUAGUGGCGCACGGGUGCGUAACGCGUGGGAAUCUGCCCUUUGGUUCGGAAUAACAGUUUGAAACGACUGCCAAUACCGGAUGAUGACGAAAGUCCAAAGAUUGAUCGACAGAGGAUGAGCCCGCGUAGGAUUAACUAGUUGGUGUGGUAAAGGCGCACCAAGGCGACGAUCCUUAGCUGGUCUGAGAGGAUGAUCAGCCACACUGGGACUGAGACACGGCCCAGACUCGUACGGGAGGAAGCAGUGGUGAAUAUUGGACAAUGGGCGAAAGCCUGAUCCAGCAAUGCCGCGUGAGUGAUGAAGGCCUUAGGGUUGUAAAGCUAUUUUACCCGGGAUGAUAAUGACAGUACCGGCAGAAUAAGCUCCGGCUAACUCCGUGCCAGCAGCCGCAGUAA